This is a long non-coding RNA of Mauremys mutica (yellowpond turtle), 1715 nucleotides long. RefSeq lists it as uncharacterized. The transcript has 3 exons. Lineage: Eukaryota; Metazoa; Chordata; Testudines; Geoemydidae. The record is from RefSeq and is a predicted model, not a curated record.
AGCCUGCAGAGAGGGGCAGCACGCAGAGCCAUGCCUCCCACCAGGGGCGUGUUGGCCCCUUCCAGGAGCGGCAUGGGGCCUGGGCCAUCUGAAGACCCCUGACUCAUUCAGCGCAAUGUCAUCACGUGACACCCAUAUGGUUCAUCAACAGAGUUGGAAUUAUUAAAAUCUACCACACAGACCUCUGCCACUUGACCUAAUAGAAAAUGGAUCUAAUAAACACCUGGACACUAAGAAGAGAUUUAAGAUACAAAACCCAUGGCUAGCAAUGUAUGGUUGCACCAGCAACUCCUGGGACCAAGGGACUAAAAAGUAAUAUAAUGAUUUCUUUAGAAGUCUUAUCGUAGCUUGCGAGGAAACUGAUUUUCCAGACAUCUGUGCAAAUGGAUAGUCCAUUCUCUUCAGAGGUUUUCCCGUCGCUUCCUGUAUCUUCCCUCCUUGGGGGAGAAAUCAGCAGGAAAUUUAGUCCAGUUUUGCAUGUGUCUUUAUUUUUUCCAGUAUAUUAAAAGGAAUAAUGGCAGUACUGCUAUGGAUGUCACUAGAUAUAGCUUUGCAAUAUGGAGGAGAUUAGGAUAAAAACUUAAGGAAGAAAACACAGGAAAAUAUUUUACUUUUUUUUUUUUAAAACAUACCAGAAAAAAUCUAAUUAGAAGUAGAAGAAAGGUUUUCUAUAAGGAGAAGCUUCUGUCCUGCUAGGAGUAUCCAUGUUCUUUCUGUGCAUCAGCCAGUACUGAGAGUGCCGAUGCUAGAAAACCAUUUAAACUUCUAGUCAGUAAUGUAUAAGCUAGUCCAAUUUAAAUAACCGCUUUUAAAAUUACCAUAGAGAAGAUUUAUUUUGUAAUAAUUAAUAAUCCAUUGCCUGUCCCAUUUUCAAAGGUGAACUGUAAGGCUUGAUAACUUGCCAGCAGUUUGAAUUCAGAGAUCUGGGUCUCACCUGAAAUAGUAGAUAAUUACAUCUAAAACAUUACUUCCACUGUCUCAGAUCUGCAAGUAAGCAUGUAUUUAACCACAAAACAAGCUUUGAAGUUAAGCAAAUGCAUAAGUGUUUGCAGGACUGGGGUUUAGGAUGGUAAUGAUGUCCUCAGUAGUUGCAAACCUCUAGCCAGAUUUAGUAAUUUACUUUAUUCAGGUGACAGAUUAUGACUUCCCAAGACAUAACGCAAUCCUUCAUUUUAUUUUUUUUAAAUUAGACUGUUCUUCUUCCUUACUGAAAAGGAUAUUACAUGAAGUAGUUUUUCCAGUGUGUUGUCAGCACCUGGUUGGAAUACAGAUGUGUGAAAGGUAUUUCAAAACUUUGCCUCAAGAGCAGUCUAGUUUGCCAUAAAUGUUGUUUUAACAUCAAGCAGUUAGGAUGCUUCCUCACACAUAUUUAAUAGCCCAGCAAUUGCGAGUUACAGAAGUGACUCAAGCCUAAUUAGAAAAAGAACAGUAUAAUUGUUAUUAACCAUAUAAGGACUGAAUUUGAUGAGUAGUCUGACAUCACAUACAAUAUAGAUUUAUGAGUACUUGUUAUUAGCAUUUACUGUAUUAUGUUUUAUAUUAAGUUGUAAUACAUAUUAUUCUCUCCUUGUUAAUUAUAUUAUAGUACUUGUUUUACAUACGUUUGGCAUAAAUACUUUGUUUUCUCUACAUGCAAUAUAUCUGGAGAAGUGUUAAUAUACAUUGGGCCUUUUUAAUUAACUGAAAUAAGGAAUUUACUAUUAUGAUUACAAACA